RNAcentral lists this ribosomal RNA (206 nucleotides) under uncultured bacterium. RNAcentral describes it as "partial 16S ribosomal RNA". It matches the Rfam family "Bacterial small subunit ribosomal RNA", at positions 568 to 773 of the family's 1533-position model. The record is from RNAcentral.
UGUGUAGGCGGGUCGUUAAGUACCUUGUGAAGUCCCACGGCUUAACCGUGGAACUGCUUGGUAUACUGGCGAUCUUGAGCCACUUAGGGGUUACCGGAACAAACGGUGGAGCGGUGAAAUGCGUAGAUAUCGUUUGGAACGCCAAUGGUGAAAACAGGUAACUGGGAGUGCGCUGACGCUGAGACACGAAAGCCAGGGGAGCGAAG